CCUACGGGAGGCAGCAGUGAGGAAUAUUGGUCAAUGGGCGCGAGCCUGAACCAGCCAAGUCGCGUGAGGGAAGACGGUCCUAUGGAUUGUAAACCUCUUUUGUCGGGGAGCAAAAGACGCCACGCGUGGCGUUCCGAGAGUACCCGAAGAAAAAGCAUCGGCUAACUCCGUGCCAGCCGCCGCGGUAAUACGGAGGAUGCGAGCGUUAUCCGGAUUUAUUGGGUUUAAAGGGUGCGCAGGCGGAAGAUCAAGUCAGCGGUAAAAUUGAGAGGCUCAACCUCGUCGAGCCGUUGAAACUGGUUUUCUUGAGUGAGUGAGAAGUAUGCGGAAUGCGUGGUGUAGCGGUGAAAUGCAUAGAUAUCACGCAGAACUCCGAUUGCGAAGGCAGCAUACCGGCGCUCAACUGACGCUGAUGCACGAAAGUGUGGGUAUCGAACAGGAUUAGAUACCCUUGUAGUC
Molecule: ribosomal RNA, 459 nt
Filed under: uncultured bacterium
Lineage: Bacteria
Description: partial 16S ribosomal RNA
Rfam family: Bacterial small subunit ribosomal RNA
Source: RNAcentral